This 468-nucleotide ribosomal RNA is filed under the name Pseudomonas sp. oral taxon C84. RNAcentral's name for it is "bacterial SSU rRNA". It matches the Rfam family "Bacterial small subunit ribosomal RNA", at positions 30 to 491 of the family's 1533-position model. The record is from RNAcentral. Lineage: Bacteria; Pseudomonadati; Pseudomonadota; Gammaproteobacteria; Pseudomonadales; Pseudomonadaceae.
AUUGAACGCUGGCGGCAGGCCUAACACAUGCAAGUCGAGCGGUAGAGAGAAGCUUGCUUCUCUUGAGAGCGGCGGACGGGUGAGUAAUGCCUAGGAAUCUGCCUGGUAGUGGGGGAUAACGUCCGGAAACGGACGCUAAUACCGCAUACGUCCUACGGGAGAAAGCAGGGGACCUUCGGGCCUUGCGCUAUCAGAUGAGCCUAGGUCGGAUUAGCUAGUUGGUGGGGUAAUGGCUCACCAAGGCGACGAUCCGUAACUGGUCUGAGAGGAUGAUCAGUCACACUGGAACUGAGACACGGUCCAGACUCCUACGGGAGGCAGCAGUGGGGAAUAUUGAACAAUGGGCGAAAGCCUGAUCCAGCCAUGCCGCGUGUGUGAAGAAGGUCUUCGGAUUGUAAAGCACUUUAAGUUGGGAGGAAGGGCAGUAAAUUAAUACUUUGCUGUUUUGACGUUGCCGACAGAAUAAGC